This 203-nucleotide long non-coding RNA is filed under the name Pan troglodytes (chimpanzee). RNAcentral's name for it is "long non-coding RNA NONPTRT017469". Lineage: Eukaryota; Metazoa; Chordata; Mammalia; Primates; Hominidae. The record is from RNAcentral.
CAGGGUCCCCUAGGAGGAGAAAACAAGAUAGAACCCAGUGACUGGCCACCAUGGACACAUGCAAGGGAAAAGGAGAAGUCCCCAGUGGGAAAAGGUGACACGCCUGUCCCCCUUUGUCUUCUGCCAUGAGUGGAAACUUCCUGAGGCCUCACCAGAAGCUGAACAGAUGCUGGUACCAAACUUGUACAGCCUGCAGAACCACG